GUACUCACUUUGGUGGCACAUAUACUAAAAUUGGAACGGUACAGAGAUUAGCUUGGUCCCUGCAUAACAUGACACAAAUUUGUGAAAUGUUCCAUAUUUUU
Small nuclear RNA from Monodelphis domestica (gray short-tailed opossum), 101 nucleotides. The record is from Ensembl. Lineage: Eukaryota; Metazoa; Chordata; Mammalia; Didelphimorphia; Didelphidae.